UACGAACUGUGCGAACGUUAUUCGGAAUCACUGGGCUUAAAGGGUGCGUAGGCGGCUUGUUAAGCAGGGUGUGAAAGCCCUCGGCUCAACCGAGGAAUUGCGCCCUGAACUGGCGAGCUGGAGUGAGGCAGGGGUGUGUGGAACUUCCGGUGGAGCGGUGAAAUGUGUUGAUAUCGGAAGGAACGCCUGUGGCGAAAGCGACACACUGGGUCUCAACUGACGCUGAGGCACGAAAGCCAGGGGAGCGAACGGG
Molecule: ribosomal RNA, 253 nt
Filed under: uncultured bacterium
Lineage: Bacteria
Description: partial 16S ribosomal RNA
Rfam family: Bacterial small subunit ribosomal RNA
Source: RNAcentral